This 450-nucleotide ribosomal RNA is filed under the name uncultured bacterium. RNAcentral describes it as "partial 16S ribosomal RNA". It matches the Rfam family "Bacterial small subunit ribosomal RNA", at positions 354 to 795 of the family's 1533-position model. The record is from RNAcentral.
GUGGGGAAUAUUGGACAAUGGGGGGAACCCUGAUCCAGCCAUGCCGCGUGUGUGAAGAAGGCCUUUUGGUUGUAAAGCACUUUAAGCGAGGAGGAGGCUACCGAGAUUAAUACUCUUGGAUAGUGGACGUUACUCGCAGAAUAAGCACCGGCUAACUCUGUGCCAGCAGCCGCGGUAAUACAGAGGGUGCAAGCGUUAAUCGGAUUUACUGGGCGUAAAGCGCGCGUAGGUGGCCAAUUAAGUCAAAUGUGAAAUCCCCGAGCUUAACUUGGGAAUUGCAUUCGAUACUGGUUGGCUAGAGUAUGGGAGAGGAUGGUAGAAUUCCAGGUGUAGCGGUGAAAUGCGUAGAGAUCUGGAGGAAUACCGAUGGCGAAGGCAGCCAUCUGGCCUAAUACUGACACUGAGGUGCGAAAGCAUGGGGAGCAAACAGGAUUAGAAACCCCGGUAUCC